UGUGCAAAGGUAGCAUAAUCAGUUGGCCUAUAAUUGAGGUCUAGUAUGAACGAAAUAAUGGGGAUAAUCUUUAUCCGUAGUGUAUUCAAAAUUUACUUAGUAGGUGAAAAAUCCUUCAUCUUAAAUAAUAGACGAGAAGACCCUAGAAAUUUUCUAGAACAAGGUUCCCCUUGCUUUUUGUUGGGGCGACAUAGUAGCAAAGAACCUACUAGGAUUUAUGAGAUUUUCAUUUUAUGUAUAAAUAAAUUACUCUAGGGAUAACAGCAUAAUAUUAGAAAGUUUGUGACCUCGAUGUUGGACUAGGAAAAUAUAGCCCAGAAGGUUAUUAUUAAGGCUCUGUUCGAGCUUUGGAUUCCUACAUGAUCUGAGUUCAAAUCGA
Molecule: ribosomal RNA, 379 nt
Filed under: Fruticicola fruticum
Lineage: Eukaryota; Metazoa; Mollusca; Gastropoda; Stylommatophora; Camaenidae
Description: partial 16S ribosomal RNA
Rfam family: Archaeal large subunit ribosomal RNA
Source: RNAcentral